UGGACAUCAAGUUGUUAUUAAGUUCUGUUUUUCCUGAGAAUUUCAUUUUUUUUUGCACUUUAAGUUGCUAUUAAGUUUCUCAAGCUCUUUGUUUUCCCUGAGCAUUUCAUUGUUUUUGCACUUUAAAUUGUUAUUAAUUUCCUCGAGCUCUGUGUUUUCCCUGAGCAUUUUCUUGUUUUUGUAUUUUAAGUUGUUAUUAAUUUCCUCGAGCUCUGUGUUUUCCUUGAGCAUUUUCUUCUUUUUGUAUUUUAAGUUGUUAUUAAUUUCCUCGAGCUCUGUGUUUUCCUUGAGCAUUUUCUUGUUUUUGUAUUUUAAGUUGUUAUGAAGUUCCUCAAGCUCUGUGCUCUUUUUUAGGAUUUCACUGUAUUUGUAGUUUAAGUUCUUAUUCUGUCCCUCGAGCUCUGUGUUCUUUCUCAGGAUUUCAUCAAUUUUGUAUUUUAAGAUGUUACAAAGUUCCACAAGCUCUGAGUUCUUGCUUAGCAUUUCAUUGCAAAUGUGCUGCGCGCCUGAGUGUUGUUUUAUCAUUUUUCCCUUUCUCCUUCUAGUUCCAUGAUUUUCUCCUUCAUUUCAUUAGAACAUGCGUGUAGUUGUAGAUUUUUCCUUUCUAAGUCUUGGAGAAUAACUUGUGUCUUUUUCUGCAUUUUUUCCUGUUGCUGUUUCUCUUGAAGAAACUCUUUGUUUUUCUCCAGGGCUUCAUCAAGUUUUAGGUGAAGCUGCAGAUUCUUGUUCUCAGUGUCUUUGAGAUUCCCAUAGAGCUCCUGAUUAAUAGCUUCUGUUUGUUGAAGCUGGUAGGACAUUUUUCUUAACUGGUCGCAGUUCUGCUUGUUUGUUGUCAUCAGGCUUGCAAUAUGCUGCGGAUCUUCAAUAAAGAUUAUUUCCCAGCCCUUAUUUACAAUAUCUACACCGGGCAGGUUUUGUGUAUUUUUAUUUUCUUCGUCUUGCUGGUUUAUGAGACUUUCAUCGUGAAACAUUUCUGCAUUUCUGUGCAGUGCUUCAUUAAGCUUUACUUGCAAGACUUUGUUUUGUUUCUUCAUGGUCUGAAGUUUACAUUCCAUUUUUUUCUCCUUUCUUUAAAUGUAAAGACUUCUUUUUAAAUGUAAUAACAUAAAAAAAAAACCUCCUCAGCCAUCAAAAUAACUUG
Molecule: long non-coding RNA, 1141 nt
Organism: Astatotilapia calliptera (eastern happy)
Lineage: Eukaryota; Metazoa; Chordata; Actinopteri; Cichliformes; Cichlidae
Source: Ensembl